RNA transcript from Ziziphus jujuba (common jujube), 1100 nucleotides. It is a transcript of the gene named ribonuclease TUDOR 2, with no coding region annotated. Lineage: Eukaryota; Viridiplantae; Streptophyta; Magnoliopsida; Rosales; Rhamnaceae. The transcript is spliced from 2 exons. The record is from RefSeq and is a predicted model, not a curated record.
UUAUAUACCAAAAUACCUUUCUUUUUAUUUUUUUUCUAAUUUUGGAAACCUUUAGUAAUAUUUUCUCCAUUUUUCAUUUUUUUUUCAAAGGAAAGAGAAAAACAGUGCAGCUACCACCACUACUAGAAUAGCAUCAUGGCAGCGACAGUUGGUGUUCUAUCAAUGGUGACAGCCAAUUUUUCUUGCCCUUUUUGAUUAUUUAUUUUUCGAGUCUGUAUUUUAACUUUCUUUCUUGCUUAAACAACCACCGAUUGAUUGCCAGUAAAUCUGAUUUUUUUUUUUAGGCUACACAUGCUGGUCAGGAGUUUAAAAAAAGAAAAAAAAGAAAAAAAAAUCAAAAUCAAGUGAAAAACAUUUAAAGCACUACUGAUAGAUAGGGAUGACAAUUUGCCCUGUAUAUCUCGAAAAUUGCAGGGUACCACCUCUGAUAGGAUGAUUUUUUUUCGAAAAAUCGGGAUGGCAGGACAAACUCGGGAUAGGAGAUCAAAACCCGGUUUGAGAUUAGGCCGGGUCCGGGGAAUAAAUACCUCGGCCCGAUAUAUAUAUAUAUAUAUAUAUAUUAUCAUGUAAUUUAUUUGUUAAAACUUGAAAAAACAAGCCCUACCCUACCCCCUCUUCAUUUUCUUCUUGCUGUGUGCCGACAUUGCCACCACCCACCUGCUGUUUUAGCCUUCAUUGCCGUCGGGCCACCUGCUGCAGCAGUCAAUUGAAGAACACAGUUGGUUGACUGGUUAUGAGCUCUUUGUGCUUGCUGUUGAUCUUUGUACCACAAAGAAGUUGUUGAGAUGGCAUCAUCAACAGCUGGGGCCACAAGAUGGUAUAGAGGAAGAGUGAAAUCUGUUUCUUCAGGGGAUUGCUUGGUGAUUACUGCUAUGGCGGCUAACAAACCAGGACCCCCACCCAAAAAGACUAUUACCUUAUCAUCUCUUAUUGCUCCUAGAUUGGUAACUAACAAUUCCUUCUAAUUAACCGUGUAAGCCUCCUUUAUUUCUUGGGGCUUCCUCUGAUUGUAUGCCUCUCACUUUUUCUCCAAAAUUUUAUGUGUGUAGGUGAUUUUUCUAUUUUUUGAGACAUAAAUUCCACAUUAGACUUCUUGUUGA